Long non-coding RNA from Micropterus dolomieu (smallmouth bass), 4684 nucleotides. RefSeq lists it as uncharacterized. The record is from RefSeq and is a predicted model, not a curated record. Lineage: Eukaryota; Metazoa; Chordata; Actinopteri; Centrarchiformes; Centrarchidae. The transcript is spliced from 3 exons.
UAAUCUAGAUGUCUAGAUUUUGAUGUUGUCCAGAUUUUGGCUAUUUUACAGCUUUGGUUGUUGAGAAUUUAGGUCUAGAGUUCCUGUUUAGAAGUAACUGAAGUCUACCAGAGUGAGUGUAAACUAGUUUAUGGCAGCAGAUUACAUAUUGUGGUAUGGUUAAGGGUUACUAUAGAGUACUGUUAAGUCACAUAGUUGAGAUCAGAUGCAAUAAGCAAAGGACGAGUAAGAAAGUUAUUCCUGUGUUUUGUAUAACCACCAACUGCCUUAAACCCUCUCUCAUUUGAGUCCAGUCGGGGAAUAAAAACCCAUAAAAUUUAUUGUGUGUUUGGCCUUAUCAUUCCUGGCCUGGCCACAUUUAAUUUCAUUGGACAAGAGACAAGAAAAGGAGAAGAUAAAAAAAAAAGAAAAAAAAGCACCGACCCUGAGAAUUCUUUGGCUCUCUUGACGUCCUCUAACUGCUGCAGAUGUUCCUCUUUUGCAUUUUGUAAGCCGCUUUCAUACUGAUCUACAAUAAACAGUGUUGUAGACCAUCAACAUAGAUACUGCAUAGGCUGAGUAUUUACUCAUGACAUUUAAAUAAACAUUUAAAAUGCAUUAAAUACCUUUCAGAUUCUGCAUUGCAGUUUUGUGCUCUCGUACGCUGUGCUGGAGUUGACGACAGGCUUUCUCUAAGUGUCUCUGGAGCUCCUGGUUCUUCUUCUGCAGCUUACUUACAGUCUCAGAGCACUCCUUUCUGCAACGAGUCUGCUCCUUCCUCUGGGACAAAGAGCCUGGAAACAGAGUACAGUUAUCGCCAUGUAAACUUGUUGAUGGGCACUAUCACACUACCGUCUAAUCAAAAUGGAUGGUUUUUUACAAUGUCCUGCUGAGUGAAGAGAUGACAAGAGCACAUUACAUACUUUGCAUUUUGCUGAUUGCUCUCUCAUGCUGUUGCUGUGUUUCUUUUAACACAUGACUCAGUCUCUCCUCACUUAUCUGUGGGGGCAAGAAUGAAACCAUAAAGGGUUUAACCAAAUUAUAAACAUUUUACCUCAUAAAAUAGACAAAAUUCAGACAAAUCAUAAUUGAAUGCUACAGAAUUUAAUCAUAGCAGUACUUCUUGUGGUAAAGGAAAAGGAGAAGCUGUCCGCACACUGACCUGCACUUGCAGGUUGGAAUGUUGCAUUAGUAAAAUCUUGGGAGCUUGCAAAUUUAUGUGUAAGACGGCUUAUCAUUUUCCUUUGCUGUUUUUUCACCACAUAACUUGACCUUCCUUUUUUGCUUUGUGUAGUUCUUGUGCAAGAACGCUCUAACCUUUGCCUUCUGCAGACUCAGUAAAUGAAUCAUUCUGCAUAGUGGAGUGUCAGUUCGGGUUGGACGAUCUACUCUAUUUUCACAUCGUCUAAUCAUGGCUACUUGAGAUCACCAAUUGGCGAUUUGAUUGCCAGGGGGCGGUGUUAUGUUACAGCAUGCCAGAGAAAUGCCAGCAUGGAAGAAAUAGGUUUUUUAGCUUUAAGAGAAACCACCAGAAACAUCCGUGAAUGCACAGUACAGUGUUUCCCACAGAAUGAAUUACUAGGUGCGUAAAUAGCUAUCAACUAGCAGCUAUGUACAGCGUGCUAACCUCAACAACCCAGCAGUAUUCUAAAGUUAACAUAGCUACCUAUACUAGCUAGUCUCCAUACAUGCUUGCUUAUAACUUACUUGAAGGUGGGUCUCCGACAUUGACAGCAUUGUGUUAAGAAAAUAGAUAAUCUAACUUCUCAUAAGUUAACUUGAAUGUAUUAAGUUACAAAUGGCUCUGCUUCAAUGUGUUUGUGAGAGAGGGGGAGAGAGUGAGAGCGAGCAAGCAGAGGUGCUGAGUGAAUCUACGCACUAUGUGCAGGUCCACAAUUAUGAUUUUACUCAUAUUAAAUAGUAUACUGAUAGUGAGUUAGUUAAAAUCGCCUAAAUAUCGGCACAUGAAAAACCAAUCGCUGAACAUCCCUUCAAUCCGCGAUAGCUGAUCCAAUCGCCAAUCGGAACAAGCCUAGUGACAGUCCUACAUGAUUAACAGAUAAAAUGCCUUACUUUUUUAGACAACAGACAAUCCAAUCCCAACUCACUUUCUUCCACUCGGUCUUGGCUUGAGAUACUGCUCUGUUGACUAUGUCUUUGCAGAAUGUUUGGAUGAUGUGUGUUAUUGUGCCCUCUGAUGUGGCCCCGCUGGUCCUCCUGAUGUCUUCAGUGUCCUGCUGAUCUGUUUUGGGAUCUCUGAGAAGUUGUGCCUGGACCUCUGCCAGAGCAGUCUGCAGCUCUGCUAGUAAUUCUCCUCUCAUCUGCUGUCUGCUGGCGUGCUCCUUCUCUGCAUGCUGACAUCUCCACUCCUCCUUUCGGGCCCUCAGCGUUUGCUGUAGCUUGGCCUCCAUCUGCAAGAGCAGCUCCUUUUUCUGGAGGGCCAAGUCCUCUCUGGCCUGCUGCAAAGCCUGCUCCAGCUUUUUGCACUGCUCUUGCACCUUAGUUUGAUGCACCUGCUCACUGCGGAGCUGCAUGGCAGAGAUCUCUUGUUGUUUGUCUCUGUUCCAGGCUGCUUUAGCUCCGGCCAGCUCAGCCUUCAGUAGGGCCGUUUGCUCUCUCCUCACUUGCUCCAGCUGAGUCUGGAGAGCUGCCACCUCCUCUUGGAGCUCCUCCACCCUCUGUGUUCCAGAGCUCUGCUCCUCCAACUGGUUCUUGUGCUUCUUAUGCCACUGCUCCUCGGCCUCCUUCAGAGCCUGGGUUAUCUGACACAUUCAAAUUAAAAUAUAAAUGAUCAGAAUACAAAAGCCAGUUGACAGCAGUGACAAUUUUGUAACUCACAAAAAGAAAACCUUUAUAUACCCUUUGUUCGGUGUGUUUUUCUUCUACUUCUUCCCAUUUCUCCCUCUCUGUUUGUAGAGAGUCUUGGUAUUCUGGUAAUGAAGUGAAAUCCUCAAUCCAGUGAUUGUAGGCCCUCGUUACUGCACCUUCAACCUGAAAAACCAACUGUCCACUACUAAAUGUGUCAACCCCUAAUGAAGGCAAAAUAGCUGAAAAUGUUUGGGCAAUAGAGCAUGGUAUGUAUAUAUUUUUUUUUAUGGACAACUAAUUGAUUUGAUGAUUUCAAAUAAUUGAGGGAUGAAUCAGAUAAAACGUUGUCUAUCUGGGAAACUGUGUGAAAAAACUGAGGAGAAAAAAAAAUGUAACACAGCCUUAGCAAGUCUAGUGGCCUUGGAAUGAUUCCAAUUGGUGCCACUCGCACUUUGCUAACUAGCACAAGUAUUAUUAAAAACAAACAAACACUGACCUGUUUGGCCAUGUCCUCCAAGUGUUUCUCAUGUAGCUCUCUCUGGGUUUGUUUCCUUGCUUCCUCCACAGCUUUGCGUUUGACUUUGUCAGCUUCCAGUUGCAGCUCCUGUUUCUGGGCACUGAGCCUGGAGUCCAGCUCCUCAACAGAAAUUGUCACACUGCUGGCCUCAGUCUCAUCUGCCUGACAGGUAGCCUCAGCAGUUUCCCUGUGUUUCUCUCUCCUAGCCUCCUCCAGCUUCUGGACCCAGGUUUUCUCUAUCUGCACAGAAGCAGUAAAAACUUUCAGGUCUAACAUAAAAUCGCCAUCAGGGAAUUGAGGGAGCUGGAUAGUAAUUUCAGGAAAUCAUACCUUUUGUAGUUCCUCCUUCCAAGCACCCUUGGCCACGGAUACCUGAGAGUUCACCUGCAGCUGGAUCUCUGUCUCCUUUUCUUUGGACCAGAGAGCUUUGAGCUGGUUUAUUGAGGCCUGAUGCUGAGCCUCAAGCUCAGCCCGCAGCUUCUCCAUAGCUGUGCCACUCUCCUCUCUCAUGUUUUGCUGGGAAUGAGAACCAAACCAUUCUCAGUCCACAGGUAUUCAAUGUUGGCUACAGGCAACGCCAUCAGUGAGAAACAGACUUGUGCAAUACAGCGUGUAGCAAUACAGUAAACAAAUAGUAGAAAAUACUAAAAGCUUUGCAUCCCAGAUGAGUCAAUACAUACAAAAUCAGUACAAAAGUAAAUUAUAAUAAAUAACUUACUAAUAUGAAUCAACACAGUUUAGUCGUUUAUAGGUUUGGCGAGCGUAAGAAGUGCGUCCAACUGUUUCUGAUAUUACAUACCUCAAUUUCCCUGAUCAAAGCCUCCUCCUUCAUCCUGUUGCGUACACUUUCUUCAAGCAUGUCCUUUUCCUUGCAGACAGAUAUGUAACAUUCUUGCACAGCCAACAUCUUAUCAUUGGCCUCAGACAGCUGGGUCCUGUGAAGAAGUACUGUAAAUGAGCUGAAACGUUUUCCAGAAAACUACGAUUUUCAGUGACAGGUGCAGAGGACUUACUGUAACUGUUGGACCUGCUGUUGGUGCUGUGCAGUCAGCUGUUCAACAAGACCAUUGUGUUCCAGCAUGAGCUCCGUUCUGAUCCGGUUCACGACAUCGUCCCUAUACUGCUGAUGAAUACGCUCAGAUCUCCAUGAAGAAACAGAAACACUACCCAGGCACCGCUGCAUCUCCACUCGCAGCAGUCGCAACGCUUCGUCUUUGGGCAGCUUGGAGUCCGAAAGGGCCUUGGCUGAUUGAGCCUGUUGUAGUUUGAUUUGCAUCUGAGUCGUCUCCUGCACUGAACCUGAAGAAAACAGUACCGCAACAGAGAAGAAAAGCUUAUUUGGAAUUGAGCGAAUUAAAAAUAAAACACACCUGCAGAGAA